Molecule: ribosomal RNA, 464 nt
Filed under: uncultured bacterium
Lineage: Bacteria
Description: bacterial SSU rRNA
Rfam family: Bacterial small subunit ribosomal RNA
Source: RNAcentral
CCUACGGGUUGCAGCAGUGGGGAAUAUUGCACAAUGGGCGCAAGCCUGAUGCAGCCAUGCCGCGUGUGUGAAGAAGGCCUUCGGGUUGUAAAGCACUUUCAGCGGGGAGGAAGGCGAUAAGGUUAAUAACCUUGUCGAUUGACGUUACCCGCAGAAGAAGCACCGGCUAACUCCGUGCCAGCAGCCGCGGUAAUACGGAGGUUGCAAGCGUUAAUCGGAAUUACUGGGCGUAAAGCGCACGCAGGCGGUCUGUCAAGUCGGAUGUGAAAUCCCCGGGCUCAACCUGGGAACUGCAUUCGAAACUGGCAGGCUAGAGUCUUGUAGAGGGGGGUAGAAUUCCAGGUGUAGCGGUGAAAUGCGUAGAGAUCUGGAGGAAUACCGGUGGCGAAGGCGGCCCCCUGACAAAGACUGACGCUCAGGUGCGAAAGCGUGGGGAGCAAACAGGAUUAGAUACCCGUGUAGUC